Long non-coding RNA from Suricata suricatta (meerkat), 1208 nucleotides. RefSeq lists it as uncharacterized. NCBI's taxonomy places the organism in Eukaryota, Metazoa, Chordata, Mammalia, Carnivora, Herpestidae. The transcript has 2 exons. The record is from RefSeq and is a predicted model, not a curated record.
CCAGGGAGCCAGCAGCUGAGAGUCCUGCCUCACCACUCUGAAACCCACUCUCGUUGAACAAGGCUAUGGACCUUUUAAAGUUCAUUUCCAGAGAACAAGAAUAGAAAUACUCAAGUACCAAGGCCCAGCUGGGGAAAUCUAGCUGCCAGUCCCCUUCCACUCCAGCCCCCAACCUGGCCAGGGCUGGGGACAUACACUCCAGGUCCAUUUCACCAGAGCCAAAAGUUGUCUUGGAAGGAGCAGGAGGAAAAGAAAACGCAGAGACCUGGAAAACGCGUGCUUUUCCCGUAGGAAGAAGAGCAGUUCCGCCCGCCUAAAGGAACCGAGGACACCCGCUGCCGGCGACGGUCUACACCUUCGAAAGGCAGCUGCUUCCCUCGUGCCGAGGAAAGGGCCAAAGGACAGGAGAAACCGCGAGGCGGCGAGACAAGUUUCCUCGACGCAGAUCUGGGACUGACGACCAUUCCCGAACUCACAGGCUCCGCGGGCGCAGCGAACAGUCGACAGGGAGGGCGGCCCACGCGGCGGCCGCCGCACGCGUCUGCUUGCUCGCGCCCUGCUGCUCCGGGUGGCGGUUUGUUCGGAGCUCGCAGAAGCAACAAACACGCUCCUCUGACACCCCCGGCCGCCCCCGCACGCACUUCUCUGGCCUCUGCCACCGCCCCUCCUGCACAGCGCCGGCCGUUUUUCCGGGGCAGACUCUUUGUCUGCCUGAAACCCCGCAUUCCUCGGGCGUGCAGCUGAAGAGAACCCGGCUCCAAAACGUCUCUGAGGUUAAAUAUUGACCAGAACCUCUCUCAAAGGGCCGCAGCUGCCUUGGACGAAUGAACUCCUAGCAAAGGCCCGGGCAAAGCCGGGGGCGCGGAGGGUUGGCGCAGCGCUUACCUCGAAAGAUGUUUAAGACUGAACCAGUGAUUGUCUCCAACUGCGGGCACUCCGGGAAUCGCCUUUUCCGGUGUCCUGGCGCUCUGCGGACAAAUAAACAGCAGAGGGUAAACGGUGGCUGCGAAGGAAGGGAGUUGGAGAACCGGAGUUGGAAAUGCGGCCUUGCACGGGCGCCAGGGUGGCCCCCGGGGUGACGCGGACACGGAGGAGUCGCCAGGGCACUCGUCCAUGAGGCGCACUCGUUGCUCGAAAGGGUCCAGUCUAAGAAUGGCCUGCAGAUGAUGAUUUAUUUUUGUAAAAUAAAUACAUACUCCAUCUCCGCA